GACGAACGCUGGCGGCGUGCUUAACACAUGCAAGUCGAACGGAAAGGCCCUGCUUUUGUGGGGUGCUCGAGUGGCGAACGGGUGAGUAACACGUGAGUAACCUGCCCUUGACUUUGGGAUAACUUCAGGAAACUGGGGCUAAUACCGGAUAGGAGCUCCUGCUGCAUGGUGGGGGUUGGAAAGUUUCGGCGGUUGGGGAUGGACUCGCGGCUUAUCAGCUUGUUGGUGGGGUAGUGGCUUACCAAGGCUUUGACGGGUAGCCGGCCUGAGAGGGUGACCGGCCACAUUGGGACUGAGAUACGGCCCAGACCCCUACGGGAGGCAGCAGUGGGGAAUAUUGCAAAAUGGGCGGAAGCCUGAUGCAGCAACGCCGCGUGCGGGAUGACGGCCUUCGGGUUGGAAACCGCUUUCGCCUGUGACGAAGCGUGAGUGACGGUAAUGGGUAAAGAAGCACCGGCUAACUACGUG
RNAcentral lists this ribosomal RNA (468 nucleotides) under uncultured bacterium. RNAcentral describes it as "partial 16S ribosomal RNA". It matches the Rfam family "Bacterial small subunit ribosomal RNA", at positions 28 to 507 of the family's 1533-position model. The record is from RNAcentral.